Molecule: ribosomal RNA, 301 nt
Filed under: uncultured bacterium
Lineage: Bacteria
Description: partial 16S ribosomal RNA
Rfam family: Bacterial small subunit ribosomal RNA
Source: RNAcentral
CAGCCGCCACGGUAAAACGAAGGGUGCGAGCGUUACCCGGAUUUACUGGGCGUAAAGGGCGUGUAGGCGGCCUGGGGCGUCCCAUGUGAAAGGCCACGGCUCAACCGUGGAGGAGCGUGGGAUACGCUCAGGCUAGAGGGUGGGAGAGGGUGGUGGAAUUCCCGGAGUAGCGGUGAAAUGCGCAGAUACCGGGAGGAACGCCGAUGGCGAAGGCAGCCACCUGGUCCACUUCUGACGCUGAGGCGCGAAAGCGUGGGGAGCAAACCGGAUUAGAGACCCCCGUAGUCCCUGUCUCUUAUAC